AUCCCAUCAGCUGCUGUGCAGGCUAAUUCAGUGCACGGCUUUACCCCUUUUCUACCUGCAGCUCCACGGGCUGCAGCGCUGUCUCCGACUUUCCUGGGGUGCUGUAAGCUCUGCUCCUCCUGCCCUGGGCGAGGUGGGGCUCUGAAUUGCUGUGUGCCGUUGGUUUUCUCACGGUUCCUGAGCCCUGCAGGGACACUGCUGCUUCACCCAGGUUCCUGGGGCAGGAAAGAGGUGGGUGUGGGUUUUGCUCUGUGCACCAGUCACUAUUUGGAUAGCAUAAACACUUGCCUGUGUUCUCGCCUUCCUUCUUUAACCCUUUGCUUCUCGCAGGAAAUAAUUUUGAUGCUGUUUCUGGAUUGUGCUUGGGAAAAGAGGAAAAAAAAAAAAGAAAAUAAGCAAGAUGGGGACAGCCAGGAUGUCAUUGCACAGACAGAAAUAACAGAGAUGUGCUGCAGCCUGGGAAAGCCAAAGUCUCUCUGUGAUCCCACCCAUGGUCCCUCUGUGACGCUGAAUCACCACCCUCACCUCCAUGGGCUGCUCCUCCUUCCCUGCAAGGAACUCUUUCAGCUCUGCUGAUGUGAGACUGAUUUUCCUGUUCUGCCAUGAAGGAUCGGGGCAAGAGUUACCCAUCUUGUGAGAUAAAGAGACUUCCAGGGAAAGAAUAGAGAAAGCAGGAGGGAAAGCAACAAGAUGUGCAAAGCAAAUCCCUGCUGUGCUUGGUUGUGCAGCCUGGGACAUCCCUCAGACUGAAACUUGGCCUCAGGACCCAAAAGCAGCCACUGUUAUUGCCUGAGCUCAGAUCUGUUAGAAUUGCUCCACAGGUACAGGAGGCACCAGGCUCGGGCAGGACUCCUGCUUUGCUCCAGGUAUGGCAGCACUGAGCUGCUCAAGCAGAGCUCAGCUGUGCCCACCUCACAGCUCUGCGACAGCUGGGAUCCCAGCCAGGACCUGCAGCACUGGCAGAAGCAUUCAGGACCAGUUGUGGUGUUUGCCCACUCAGUGUGAGAUUUCCAAGGCUCAGGAGGCUGCACCAGAAACUGGAAGAGCAUCACUGAGGCCUGGAUGGAUGGAGGACACUCAGUGCAAAAAGCCAUCACAUGGCUUGGGUUGGAAAGCACCUUCAUGCCCAUAUCAUUCCACCCCUGCUGUGGACUGGCUGCUCCCACCAGUUCAGGCUGCCCAGAGUCCCAUCCGUGGCCUUCAGCACCUUUGGGGAUGGGGCACCCACAGCUCUGAGCAAAACACCAAAAAGGGGCUGAGUACCAUCCUGCAUAGAGAACAACUUCUGUCGCAGUGAGAUUGCAUCUGCAAGGAGACGCAGCUGUGGGAAGGAUACAAAUGAGGGUUAUGUGAUAGAGGAGCACAAAGCAGGGAAGGAAAAUAGGGGAUGAGUCACUGCUCCUCACAUGGCACUCAUGCUCUCCCUGACCCCCAGCUCCCACAGUGGGGAUGCCCUGGAGCAGGGGUGUGUGAGUGCUGUAGGGCCAUGGUCUGCAGGUGCCGUGCAUACACUGAAGCUGUUCUGCAUGCACCGGGCCUGCAUGGAGCAGGGUUUCUGGGUACAGGAUACCAUGUGUCCUGGAGGAGCGUGCCACGUGGGACUGGGAUGCCACAGCGGUGCCUCUGCUUGGGGAAACCAAGAUAGGGGAGCUCUGUUGUGCUCCAGCAUGGGGUGGUGGCACCACCGGGUCAUUUGUGCUGUUGUGAGGUGUGGAUGAGGCUCGGUGUGCUCUGCAGUGUGAUCUCUGGGCUGUUUAAUGAGCCCAAAUUGGGCUUUUGGAGAUGACCUGGGGCAGUGGAGCAUUUUGGGGGAAGCCUGGGAUCUGUGGGGAACACAUCCCACAGGCCUGAGAAUGCUCUGAACACAACAUUGUGUAUCCACAAGAUUCCCUGCUGCAACGCUAUGGAAAGCCCAGCAAUGACAGCAGAACAGCAAGAUCCUAGAGCUGCAGCAAGGGAGGAUUUGCUCAAAUGCAACAGCUGCAGGCACAGAAAUAAAGGAAAACAGCUGCUUACCUUCAGAAGGCCUCAGAUAUGCAGGGAUCUCCAGUGAAAUACCCUCAUCUCUACUGCCAACCCUUAAAUGAGUUCUGGGAAGGGAUGCAUCCUGGCUCCACUCCGUACAGUCAAUCAGCUGCACUGCACGCACCUGAGCUCCCCUGGGUUGGCCCUGCCUUCCCACCAGUGCUCCAUCUCUGCUUCAAUCCAUGACUUAGCAUUGCCACUACACCUGCCUGAAAAUGAGCUGCUUUUGUGUGCUUGUAUGAAGGAUACUGGUCCCAAAUGGAAGCAUUUUCAAGAUUCUUGGUAUUCACUUUAUACGCUUCAAAUGGAUGGAGAGAGACCCAAACACUGGGUAAUGCAUCAUGUAGAAGACUAUUUGCUCUUGUAGCCUGUAACCUAUAUGACUGGACUCAGCUGUGCCUGCAGGUGCUGUUUGUACCUGAAAAAGCUGUGGAACGGACACCAUCACUACAUGUGGUACUGACAAUUAAUCCUCUCAAGGAGUUCUGGAUACGUUGCUUCAGAAGGGCUUUUAUAAGGCAAUUACUGAGGCACUCCAUCCAAAACCAACUGGAAACGUGCCUGCUGCACUAUGGCCUAGAAGCAGCUUGAGUAAGGAAUGAUGGUGGUUGCCAAUGCAAUUUUGGUUUCUAAGUGUUGGUGUGUGAGAUCCAUCCGAGACUGAUUAAGAAGUUUGGGUUUCGGGGCUUUGCCUUUGAGCUGCAUCCCCUGCUGUCCUCCCACCCCUCAGAGGUCUCGGCACAGGGUGCUUCCAGAGAGCAGCUCUGAGCACGGCAGGAUGUCCUCCCCUUUUCCUGAGCAUGGAUUUGCAGGAUGUGCCAAGCCUGUCUGAUAGCUACGAAUCCUCUUGUAAGAUACUGGUCAGGGCUGAGCAUCAUUCCUAAGCCGUGCCACGAGUAAACAAACUAAACACACUUUGUAGCUGAGAUCACGUUCCCUUUGGCAGGUUUCCUCUUUGAAGAGCCAUCUUACGGAGAUCAAGAGAGUGCUGCUUCCUGGCUGGCUCAGCAUGGAGAGCACUGUGUCUUCUGUGCAUCCCUUAAUCCCCAAACCAGGUUACAGCUGCUGCAGGAUGCAAAGCAGAGACCAAACUCUUCAGUGCUGCUGACAGCAGUUCCUUGGAGCAGGCUGGGAAAUCCCCAGAGCAGCCUUGAAUUUGCUCCUGAUUAGCAUGAAGAAUCCACACAUCUCCGUGUGCCUGGGGACUAAAGGUGAUGUUUGUGUGUGAAACUCCAGUGAACUGGAGACCAAUAAGGAAUGGGUGCUAAAUGACACAGAGACACCAGCAUAGAAAAGUGCUUGUGAUGCAUUUGGGGUGAAAUAAUCUUAGCAUAUGCAAAUGAUGGCCUUGGAGUGACCACAACUGCUUGGAGGGAACUCCAGGGUCCCAUCCCAGUGACACCCAAGUGGUGAAAUCAACAGAUAGACCUCCAUAGUCUAUCUAUGUAUCUAUCACAGUCUAUCUAUAUAUAUCUAUCCAUAGUGGUAACUGAUGGUGACUCCCCAAGAAAGCUCACGGCCAGAGAACCAAAAUAAAUCCAUGUGCAACAAUUGGCUUGAAGAAAUUCCAGCAACUUUUAUUGAUUCCAGCUUUUCCAAUGAAGCAAAUACAUACAGUACAGCCAAAACAAAACUCUGAUAUGUUAUUCUCACAUACCUAUAUCUUACAGAAUACACUGUAUAGCUAUGGACUGGCAGGCUCGGGUGGUCUCAAACUGCUGUGUGGUCAGAGAGGAAUAAAACUGCCUUCUGCCUUUCAUGCAGUCCAUGAGGCUUCUGAAAUGCUGGGGUGGGUUGGAUUGUACAUACACGAAACAAAUAAAGCAUUUAAGAGAAAACAGGCCAAAAAGCUCUGCUAAGCCCAGGACAAACAAGCGUGGUAUUUAUUUACAUGGUUGUGUGUCCUGCGCACAAAUCAAGCCCCAAUUGCUCUUAUUCUGCUGCUGGCAGAGAUCAGGGUGCUGCUCGCUGUGGUCCUUCCCUCUUCAGUAGUUCUCCAUCACUCCAACCCAUGCCCUGCAGACCUGCCCCAGCUGUAUCCCUGCAGAUCCACCCUGCCUUGCCUUUUACACAGGGAAAAAACAGGAAAACAGCUCAGCAAGGAGCAUAUCUCAGCUAAAGAUCUGCCUCUAUGAAGCAAUGUCUCCCUUGAAGGAAGAAGAUUGGUGGAAAAAAGUGAAAGCAGCAUCCCGGUGCUGAGCUCUGCCCUUGGGAGAAGCGUGGUUUGGAAAAGAAGGUCCCCAGACUGCUGGGUAUGAGCAACAGCAGAGGUUUUCCUUACACUGCCAGACAUCAGCGUCACUUCACCUACGUGGGUAGAGUCUGUAGUCCAGAUUUAACACAGAGAGACUGAGAGGGAAAUAGAGAUGAGUAUCAGAGAGUUUCCUCGGGGGGAAAAAGAGCUGCAAAGAGCCCAAGGGUGUCAGAGGGGCCGCAGCUCAGCCCUGCUCUCCUGGGUCAGCUGUAUUCUGAGGUAUGAGAGCAGCAACCUGCAGCACUGUAGGGAAACUGAGGCUGGAGGGAGCUCCCAGCUCAGGGCAGGGAGAGCAUCCAGGGCUGUGUGCAGCCAAGAGCUGAAGAUCAGCUUCACUGCAGGACAGUUGGAGCAGAUGACCUUCAAAGGUCCCUCCCAGCUCCAGCAAUUCCAUGAUUCUAUAUGAGAUCUCCAAGGAUGGAGACAGUUUUAAUUUGUGUUGUUUGGUCAGCUUUGCUGUACGUCACUGACACUGAUGUGAAUGAUGCAUCCAAUCCUCUGAGCUCAGUACUUUGUAACGAAACCUCCAGGACUUGUAAAUUUAAUUGUGGGAUGAUUACUGCAGCUCUUUGUGCCUAACACAGUGCUGCUGUAAAUUGCGUUACCGGUGAAAGCAGCAGCACUGCUUUAGAAUAAAGCUCAAAUAGCAGUCAAUUAGAAUGAAUUUCCUCAAUAUUCCAUCAUUACAUUUUGCAGUUAGCUUUCCCAAUUAAUUUUACAGGGAAAAACAUUAGCUCCCAGGACUUCUGCCUAACGUGUAAUUACAGGAACAAAUCUGAAUGCAAAAUUGCACGCAGCGUAAUCCUAAAGCCAAACUGCAACAACCCUUCCUGCGGACACUGCAGCCUUUCUGGACGUCCAUAGACUUGGGUCCUGCCAAAAACAUUCUGAACCAUGAAAUGAGGGCAUGCACCAGCUAUGCAACAGCUGGCAGCCGUGGUGAGGGCAUGCCCACAGGCCUGGGCUCCUCCGCUGCUGUUUAAAUGCUCCUGAAACUGUCCUACCGGAUUCGCCUGGUUCCAGCUCUCCACUUCAAAGGUGCUUUUUGCUCUUUCAUUUGGCUGGGAGCUCCGCACAGAAAGCUCUCGACUGAACGUGGGUGAAUGCAAGCAAAUAGCUGUUGCUCAUUAAAGUGCACAAGGCUGAGCCACCCUUUGUAGGCCAAAAGAGAAGCGGCUGGGGCUCCUCUCACUCUGCGCCCUGCGCUCUGAGUGGGGAUGAUGCUGCCCAGAGCAGAGCUGAAGUCAGCCCUGCCAGGUCAAUGGGAUGUGCCAACUGUCACCAAGCGAGGAGCUGAACCCUCCUGAACCCUGCAAACACGAGACUGCUUCUCCCUGCCCAGACUCAGCUCUGUAACCCAUCCUUCCCAAUCGCCUCCUGCACCCUCCACAUCUGCACAUCUCUGUGCCCCUGCAGUGCAUCCUCUGCUGAUCCUCCCCCUGUGCCUCCGAGCUCGCAUUUCUCACAUGCUUUUCCAUUUUUGCUAUUUCUUUACAUUGCUUGGUACAAACAAAGCCUGAUGACGAAGGCCACAUCCCUCACUCUUGGCACUCAGUGAUGCUGGGCAAAGCCAGCUCCUCCUCCUGGCUCCAGCUUCCCAAAAGUUGUAUUUCUCCACACAUGGUCCCAUGGUUGCACUGUUCCAGUGCCAGGUGAUUGAUUUGGCACCUGGUGAGACCGUGCUCUGUGUUAGCACUGUCCAUACAGCUUCAGAGAGCAGUUGCUGAGUGCCAGGGGAGAAUCAGCAGCCAACAAUUUGCUUCUGGAGAUAAAGAGUUUAGGUGACAGGAGAGGAAAUACUAAUAACUAUGAGAGCUCAUAGGAGAAGAAAAAUCAGAAGCAGGAAAGAAGCCCAUGUUCGUAAAUGUUAGGAAGAAGCAGCCUUUUUAAAGAAGAGUUUUGUGUGUAUCUGUUGAUAACAGCCAUAUGCAACGUGGGGACGACAUCAAACCGGCAAUUUUUGCACUUCUGGGUGAAAAUGGGUUGUGACAAGAAUUUGGUGCGGCAGCAUUUGUUGCAUGGAUCGGGUGGGAUUUGCCUUACGUGCGAGGGGCUGAAACUGCACAGCUGACACUGAGUUUUGGUGGGGACUCAGCCCUGCUCGCCAGGUGUGAGCGUUGGCCGCAUGCACACCACAGCAACGUGGGCACAGUUACACAGAAACACUCUUUGCAAAAAAAUACAAAUAUUGACAUCAAGAAACUAUAACCUCCAUGAAA
This is a long non-coding RNA of Lagopus muta (rock ptarmigan), 6498 nucleotides long. RefSeq lists it as uncharacterized. The transcript has 3 exons. The record is from RefSeq and is a predicted model, not a curated record. Lineage: Eukaryota; Metazoa; Chordata; Aves; Galliformes; Phasianidae.